UAGCCUUGACAUACUACAGAAUUUGACCCAUAUGUUGAAGUGCCUUCGGGAGCUGUAAUACAGGUGCUGCACGGCUGUCGUCAGCUCGUGUCGUGAGAUGUUGGGUUAAGUCCCGCAACGAGCGCAACCCUCGUCCUUAGUUACUAACGGUUUGGCCGAGGACUCUAAGGAGACUGCCUUCGUAAGGAGGAGGAAGGUGAGGACGACGUCAAGUCAUCAUGGCCCUUACGGCUAGGGCAACACACGUGCUACAAUGGUUAGGACAAUGAGAAGCAAUAUCGCGAGGUGGAGCAAAUCUAUAAACCUAAUCUCAGUUCGGAUUGUAGUCUGCAACUCGACUACAUGAAGCUGGAAUCACUAGUAAUCGUAGAUCAGCUAUGCUACGGUGAAUACGUUCCCGGGUCU
This 405-nucleotide ribosomal RNA is filed under the name uncultured bacterium. Its description in RNAcentral is "bacterial SSU rRNA". It matches the Rfam family "Bacterial small subunit ribosomal RNA", at positions 976 to 1381 of the family's 1533-position model. The record is from RNAcentral.